This is a long non-coding RNA of Vicia villosa (hairy vetch), 507 nucleotides long. RefSeq lists it as uncharacterized. The transcript has 2 exons. NCBI's taxonomy places the organism in Eukaryota, Viridiplantae, Streptophyta, Magnoliopsida, Fabales, Fabaceae. The record is from RefSeq and is a predicted model, not a curated record.
GGAAUUAUUAUUAUAAGUGAUAUAAUUGAUUAUUUGAGUUAUAUCUCUUAUUGGGCCUAAAUUAAUUUUGGAGGAUAUUAAAUAAAGAGAGGAUUUAAACACUAAGCCCAAUUGGUUUUAUAUUAGGGUUUUAGAGAUUUUGGAAAGAGGGAGUUGUCAUAAUGAAGAGACAAGAAUAGAGGAGAAAGAGGCAAGACUAUGGAGAAGAAGAAGAAGAAGCUUGAAGAGUUUUCAUCCAUGGUGUCAAGUAAAGAUGCAAUUAGAGACCCAUUGAGUUGCUUCCAUUGAUAAGGUAUUCAAGUAUGAAGAUUUAGUUGCCGUUACUCGAGUCGGUUGUCGCUCUGAUACGUAGCACUCUGGGGGGAACGAUUUAUGUCAUUCAUGAUGUUGCUGUUUAAUUGUGUUAUCUUGGUUGAACAAAAUGAUAAGUUAACUGAAGAUAUUUUAUUGAAUACUUGUUUAAGUGAUUCCGCUGUGUUUUAAUAAAAUGAGUUAUUCUGUUUCAAA